CAGGUCGACCAGGUGAUCGCGGUCCAGCGCUUUGGCGAAGGAUCGAGGAAAGUCCGCACUCCGUAGAGCACGGUGCCGGAUAACAUCCGGAGGGAAGUAAUUUUCUGGAUCGGGCCACAGAAACAAGUAGCCGCUUUCACCCUUGGGUGAAAGCGGUGAUAGUGAAAAGGUGGUGUAAGAGACCACCGGCGCGGGUGGCAACAUCCGCGGCCAGGUAACCCCCACCGGGAGCAAGGCCAAGCAGGGACGUGGUGCUGCUCGUACCGCUGUAAGUUCCGGGUAGGCUGCAUAGAUAGAUGACCACCGCCGAAAACGCUGUUUUCGGAGACAGAAUGCGGCUUAUCGGUCGGCCUGGGGU
Molecule: RNase P RNA, 358 nt
Filed under: Chloroflexota bacterium
Lineage: Bacteria; Bacillati; Chloroflexota
Description: Chloroflexi bacterium (Maroochydoore River metagenome) RNase P RNA component class A
Rfam family: Bacterial RNase P class A
About the family: Ribonuclease P (RNase P) is a ubiquitous endoribonuclease, found in archaea, bacteria and eukarya as well as chloroplasts and mitochondria. Its best characterised activity is the generation of mature 5'-ends of tRNAs by cleaving the 5'-leader elements of precursor-tRNAs. Cellular RNase Ps are ribonucleoproteins.
Source: RNAcentral